This 520-nucleotide ribosomal RNA is filed under the name uncultured bacterium. RNAcentral describes it as "bacterial SSU rRNA". It matches the Rfam family "Bacterial small subunit ribosomal RNA", at positions 8 to 526 of the family's 1533-position model. The record is from RNAcentral.
AGAGUUUGAUCAUGGCUCAGGAUGAACGCUGGCGGCGUGCUUAACACAUGCAAGUCGAACGAAGCGCGGAUGCGGAAUUUUUUCGGAAAGGAAGCGUCCGCGACUGAGUGGCGGACGGGUGAGUAACGCGUGGGCAACCUGCCCCAUACCGGGGGACAACAGCUGGAAACGGCUGCUAAUACCGCAUACGUUUUCGGCGCCGCAUGGUGCCGGAAAGAAAACUCCGGUGGUAUGGGAUGGGCCCGCGUCUGAUUAGCUUGUUGGGAGGGUAACGGCCUACCAAGGCGACGAUCAGUAGCCGGCCUGAGAGGGCGGCCGGCCACAUUGGGACUGAGACACGGCCCAGACUCCUGCGGGAGGCAGCAGUGGGGAAUAUUGCACAAUGGGGGAAACCCUGAUGCAGCGACGCCGCGUGAGCGAAGAAGCGCUUCGGCGCGUAAAGCUCUAUCAGCAGGGAAGAAAGCGACAGUACCUGACUAAGAAGCCCCGGCUAACUACGUGCCAGCCGCCGCGGUAAUUC